UACAUAUAAUACUCUCAUAAAGGGAUUUUGCAAGUCUAAGAGAGUAGAAGAUGGUACGGAACUCUUCCGCGAGAUGUCUCAUAGAGGAUUGGUUGGCGAUACAGUCACUUACACCACUCUUAUCCAAGGGCUUUUUCAUGAUGGCGACUGUGAUAAUGCCCAAAAGGUUUUCAAACAGAUGGUUUCUGAUGGUGUACCUCCUGAUAUAAUGACAUACAGCAUUUUGUUAGAUGGACUCUGUAAUAACGGGAAGCUAGAGAAAGCAUUGGAGGUUUUCGACUAUAUGCAAAAGAGUGAGAUAAAACUUGAUAUUUAC
This 316-nucleotide small RNA is filed under the name Arabidopsis thaliana (thale cress). RNAcentral describes it as "ATSL063380". The record is from RNAcentral. Lineage: Eukaryota; Viridiplantae; Streptophyta; Magnoliopsida; Brassicales; Brassicaceae.